GUUGGCCAUUUAGGACCAUCAUUCUCCUCAUUUAUGAUCAUGGGAAUGGGGUAUCCGGGCCCUCAUUGAUGGUACAGAUAAUUACAUCUUAAGAAAACACAUGGCUGGUUUAAUGAAUGUUGUGACACUCCAAUUACUAUCUAGCUCACAAACAAUUAUGAUUGGACAUUUUAAUCUUGCAGAACUUGAAAUCAUUUCAAAUAUAAAGCAGGCAAAACUUCCUUACAGCAGCAACUCAUUUUACACAUGAUAUUAUACAACUCAUUAAGAGGGAGAGGAAAAGGAAAGAAUAACGCCAAAGUUAUUUAAGGGCAACAGAUGGUAUCCGACUUGUGAAGUUGGCAUUAGCAGGAGAUAAUUGUGAACCACAACUAGAUACUCCCAUACUAUCAUCAGAACAUUUACCACUCAUAGAUAUAUCAUUGCCAGAAUCUAUCCGAAUCCCAUGGUAAGACUCUCCAGAAAUCAGUGCUUGUAACAAUUUUGGUGCCGGAGGAGAGUGCACUUCCACUACCCCCUCUAGCAUAUUCACUACCAUCCCCAUUGCAGGCCUCAUGUCUUCAUUAUCCUGUAUGCACCAAAUUGCCACCAACGCAACACGCUUAGCCUCCUCAAUUUUAUAUGCACUGCCAAGCCUAUAAUCUACCACUGCUGCUACAUUGCCUUCAAUAAUUUGUUGUGCAGCAUAUGGAGGGAAAAACCAUAUCUCCCCCUUUUUGCCCUCUUCACCACCAUUACCACCACCUGCAGAUGCUGGUGCCUCUACAUUUCUGCGACCUGCAAGCAAUUCAAAUAAUGUCAUUCCAUAACUAUAAACAUCUGCUUUUGGAGUAAUUGCCACUCCAGAUAUCCACUCUGGUGCGACAUAGCCCCAAGUGCCCCUCAUGGUAGCUAAAACUCGACUGAAGUCACGACCAACAAGCUUUGCUAGGCCAAAAUCGGAUACCUUGGCAGUGUAAUCACCAUCCAGAAGGAUGUUGUCUGGUUUGAUAUCACAAUGGAUGAUGCAAUCUCUACAUUCCUCAUGUAAAUAUGCAAUGCCUCUAGCAGUCCCAAUGGCUACUCGAAAUCUAACUUCCCAGCUCAAACUGGGACCACCUUGGCGCAAAUAAACACUCAAAGGACCAUUUGGCAUGUAAUCAUAAACUAGAAGCCUAUGAGACUUCUCUGAGCAAAACCCUCUAAGCCUCACAAGAUUAACAUGUUGAAUGUUCCCAAUGGUACAUACCUCUGCCUUGAACUCUCUCUCUCCACUCCCUGGCCUUUCAAGGCGUUUCACAGCAACAAGGGUAGAAUCUAAUAACUCACCUUGAAACACUGCACCAAAUCCACCGUGUCCAAGUUUAUCUGAGAAACCCCUAGUUGCUGCAUACAGCUCUUUGUAAGAAAAUACCUUCAAAUUCAACACCAGAAAGCCCCCAUCUUCCCUUCUCCCCUUGCUCCUCCUCCUCAUCUGCAGAGUCAGCAAAACUCCUAUUGCCAACACAAAAAUGGCAAUAGACCCAAGAAUGAUAACAAUCAAAAGCACAGACUUGGACUCAUUCUUCUUUACCGUUCCUUGUUCUGGAACCCUAACAAACAGCACAUCUUGAUAUGCACUAUUAGAGCCCAGAUUUCUCAAAUUCAAUAGAGUCCCAUAUAAAUUCUUGCAUAAAUUAGUCCUCUCGUCAUGGAGCAAACCGAUACAAGAACAAUUACCCAAACAAGAUCUCUCGCAAAAGCUUAUACUACCCGAAAACGAAAUCAAAACUGCUCCCUCGUACUCCAUGACACCAACCUCCAUGAACCCAUCAGUCUCGUUACAGGAAUUCCCAUUCUCCCUGACACAACCGCCAGAAUAAUCCCCAAAUUCCCAAUCGUAAUCACUAACAGGCCUAAAGCCUGGAAGGCAAGAACAAGGCUUUGGCGAUGUGGAACUGCUUUCACAAAAUCCCAAAUCCCCGCAUAAUCGAUCAACUUUACACCAAUUAUCCGGCUGUGACCAGAACUUGCUCCAAUUCUCCGUCUGCGGCGACCACGUAUAUUGUUUGAACCGCCCAUCGACAUCUACCUGAAAUCGAGUCAACGGCGGGCUCAGCGCUCUAUCUUUUGCUAUUUCCGUGUACCAAAAUGACGCAGCAGGGGUAAAAGGAUUGGCGAAGUGGAAUUUGUAUAUGUACUCUAUUGUCAUUUCGGGUACACGGGCGAAUUUCGCACCGGUCCAGUUACCUGUGCUCCAAUAACUGACACUUUUGUUAUGUACGAGCUCAAUUUCAUUGUACUCUCGUGGGUUUAGCCUGAGAGAGUAUAAUCCAGGCGAUGGGUCGGCUAAGCUCCGCCAAGAGGUUAAUGAUUGCUCCUUGGUAAUGUUCAUGCCCGGUAACCACGUGUCCGUCGGAUAAUUGAAGCUUUGCCACAAUGUUGCCCCUGUAGCUGAUAAUAGAACCAGAUUUCCAUUGUCUAGAAAGCGAAAAUCUGUUGCACGUUCAUUGUUUGUACUCUGCCAAAUGACAGAAUUUGGCGACUCCAUUAUUGCCAAUUUGCCAGUUUCGGUGAUUUGUAGUGUGCAAGACGCAGGUUUGGUGAUGGGUGUUUCUCGGUUGGCUACCCAGACAUAAGUUGGAGUCGGGAUUGAAGAGUACCAAAUGCCUAGAUACCACUUAGAGCUUUCAUGUGGGCUAAAAAAGCCAAGCUGGAAGGUAUUGUUUUCGCUAUGAAUUGUGAUGUUUCCGCUGAUUAUAACAUUGGCCAAUUCCAAUUUCUUGCUGAUCCUUCGCCUGGUGUAGUUUGCUAAUAAAUUCAGCGGCUUUUGGGUGGUGAAUGCAAAAUUUGAGGAAACUGCAAAUCUGUUGCUAGGACUUUGGGUAAUUCUGGGGGCGGACAACCUUUCAUUUGCUCCAAAUUUGUCAACAAAAGAAGCAUCGGAGGUUGUUACCAGAAAAAAGAAGAAAAUAUAAACAGAAAUCAUGGAAGAAGCAGUGGCAGUGAAGGAGGGUAUUGACAUUCCAAUGGUAAGCUUAAUCAGAAAGUUUUCAGUUUCAUUUGGCGGGAGGACGAGGGAAAUAAAGAAAAUAAAAAGGGAAUCUUUCGUCUACGAGAGGACAUGACGGAAUCAGUAGAUGGUUCACUGAGCUGCGAUUCACUUUCCAAUGUACCUUUUUAAGAGUCAGAAUAUGGAGAUAUUUGCACUAGCGGCCCUUGGAGGACACUAACACGAACAAAAAGUUAUACCAAUAUUACGAAAAUAGCCUCUAAAGCAUUGUCCUAAUUGGCGAGACUUAAUUGCUUUUAAAUUACAAGAUCGCAAUCGCAUCAUCAUUAUGAGUUGUAAAAAUUUAAUCAGACAAUGUAUUAUUAAGCUUAAUACCAUUAGCAUUAAG
Molecule: unclassified non-coding RNA, 3359 nt
Filed under: Hevea brasiliensis (rubber tree)
Lineage: Eukaryota; Viridiplantae; Streptophyta; Magnoliopsida; Malpighiales; Euphorbiaceae
Source: RNAcentral